GGACUGAAGACCGUUGACUGGGGCGUCUCUUGAUUGUUCAACGUUACCGAGUGAGGGAGAGUGUAAACAAAUGCAGAAUAGGCUUCUGCAAUCUGCAUUUCCAGGCCAGACCAGACGGCCAAAAGCUGCAAAUUUUCUUUUCUUUCAUUUUCUGCCUUGAUUUUUCAAGAAAAUCAUCCAGCAAGAGGAGGCUCUAUGGAUGAAUCAUUUUUUUCAGGUACAUUGUUGGAAGUUGAAUCAGACCUGUGCCAUUAGCUCAAAUACUGAUUUUGUGAAUGCCUUGGAUUCAGGCAUAAACACUUAUGCAGUUUGAUUGCAUAACUCAAUGAGAGUUUGGGUUCUGUAUCUGUAGAUUUUCCCUUGUAAUAAGAUGGCAAAGGAUGUUAUUAUUAGUGCAUCAUUUGUACCAAUAUCUGAGAUGCUUUCUCAGGUAGCCCUCUCCAUAUUUGCAACAGUACAUGCAGCCAAAGAAGUCCUUGUUCAGAAGGAAAAUAUCAAGAAGUUCUCAACUUACUUGGAGAAGACUGCAUGUGUGUUGAAAGAGUUGUCAAGGUUAAACCUAGACUAUUCUGAGAGCUUUAAAAAUGCCGUAGAGAUUCUGAAACGAGAGUCCAAAAUUGCUGAGCAGUUGGUUCUUGAAUGCAAGAACAAAAAUAAGGUCUAUCUGUUCCUGAAUUGCAAGAGAAUCAUUAAGCGUUUAGAGAAUAACACAAAAGAGAUUAGUUGGGCUUUAAGCCUCAUACCUGUAGCCUCUUUAGAUCUUUCUGUGGGCAUAAGUGAUGAAAUUAGCAAGUUGUGCAAGAAUAUGCUGGGUGCUGAGUAUCGGGCAGCAGUAGCGGAGCAAGAAAUUUUGGAAAAGAUCGUCUCAGCAACACAGGAAUGCAAUGCUGAUCGAUCUCGUGCAAAUGAUUUGUUGUUUCAUAUUGCUGAGGCUGUUGGGAUCUCUACUGAGCAGUCAUCUUUUGAGAAGGAAUUUAAAGAAUUUAAGAACGAAAUAGAAGAUGCAAAGCUAAGAAAAGACAUGACAGAAGCUGUACAGAUGGAGCAGAUCAUUGCAUUCCUUGAAAAUGCUGAUGCCAUCAAAUCUCAUGAGGAGAGAGAGAAGAAGUACUUUAAAAAACGAAAUUCUCUGGGCCGGCAGCCAUUACAACCUCUGCAAUCAUUUUAUUGUCCAAUUACUCAGGAUGUAAUGGUUGAUCCUGUGGAAAUUUCAUCUGGUAAAACAUUUGAGAGAGCUGCAAUAGAGAAGUGGUUUGCAGAAGGGCACAACAGCUGUCCCUUGACCCAAAUUUCCCUUGACAAUUUGUUUUUACGGCCUAACAAACCACUUCAAAAACUAAUUGAAGAAUGGAGGGACAGAAACAAUUUGAUUACCAUUGUUUCCCUUAAGCCCACACUUCAGUCGACAGAGGAGCAUACAGUGCUACAAUCGCUGGACAAGCUGCAGGGUCUACUGGUGGAACGAGAGUUGCACCGAGAAUGGGUGACAAUGGAGAACUAUAUACCAGUUCUUAUUGGACUUCUUAGUGCAAAAAAUCGUGAAAUAAGAACUUGCACGCUGACCAUUCUUUGCAUCCUUGCUAAGGACAGUGAAGACAACAAGAAAGCAAUUGCUAAAGUUGAUCAUGCGCUUGAAUUGAUUGUCCGUUCACUUGCCCGCCAGAUUGCUGAAAGUAAGUUAGCUUUGCAGUUGUUAUUAGAUCUAUCAAGGCAUCAUCUGGUGAAAACUGGCAUUGGAAAUAUCCAGAGCUGCAUAUUUCUCUUAGUAACUGCAUCAAACAGCAAUGACAAUCAAGCUGCCAAAAAUGCAGAAGAGCUUUUAGACAAUCUGUCUUUUUGCAAUCAAAAUGUUAUAGAGAUGGCAAAGGCAAACUAUUUUAAACCAUUACUGCAACUUCUUUCCUCAGGUAUGUUUUUGUUAUGGUGCUUCUUUAUUAAUGAAUAUAAUAAAAGGUAUUCUUUUUAGGCCAUUUGACAUUGCAUGUUUCUGAUUUGAAAUCUGCUUGGAGGUAUUUGUGCAAGUUUUAAUUUGAAAAAAUUUUCCAGGCUUGGACUACCUUGAAAAAUUAGUGCAAGAAAACAAAGUAGGUUUUUACCUGAUUGCUUUGGCAAAAUGUUGGUUUUUUUAGUCUCUUCCAUUAUUCCUCAUUUGUUGUCUGUAACUAGUCAUUUUGUGAUGUAUGCUAUAUGUGAUAGUGAUUAUUUAGCACAUGAAUAGUCAUGUUAAUUAUAUGUGAGUGUAUUCAAAUUAAAACUUGUAGGAAAGGUUGUGUAGGAUCAUUCUUGUUUAAAAUGAACCAAAUAUAUUUAACUCCUCAAUUACAAGUUUAUAUAGAUUGUGAGUUACAUUUUUUAACUAUAUGUCCUUUGACACUACUUGAUUAAGCUAAUUGACAUUCGCCAAUUUAUUAGAUUAUUUGAUAGUUUGAGGUCGGAAACAACGCUUAGAAUUGAAAUGGUACAUAUUUAAUUUUCUAUAUUUCUUAACAAAUAUUUCUCAAAUAAGUUCAAGAGUGAAGAUAAACACACCAAGAAGUCAUGAACUUCAAAAUUUUAGUGCUGAGGUUGAGGUCUACCAAAUUUUUUCUCUUGCUAGUUUUUACUGCAGUUUAUCGCGCAUGGACUUCCAAUCCUUGCAUACUGAUAGCUAGUAAGUCAAUGGUAUUUUAUUGAUAUGAAAUAUUUGAAAGUCCUGUUUCAUCUAUGCUCUAAUGCUUAGUAUACUUAUUUCAUUUUUACCUGUUUCCUCCACCAUCUGCAUUUUUAUAUAUAAUAUAGAUUAUUAUCAAAGCAGGGGAAGAAGAUAUUAGGAUAAUGAUGGCAAAGACACUGUCAGAGAUUGAGUUGACCGACCACAAUAAGGUGUCUUUAUUUAAAGAUGGGGCAUUGGAGCCACUUCUUCAACUGCUCACACAUGAUGAUUUAAAAGUAAAAAAGGUGGCUAUUGAAGCUAUACACAACCUUUCAGAUGUACCACAAAAUGGCCUCCAGUUGAUCAGAGAAGGUGCAGUAGGACCACUGUUUGAACUUCUUUAUCGUCACAGCUUAUUGUCACCAAGUUUGCGUGAACAGGUUGCUGCCACAAUUAUGCACCUUGCCAUAUCGACUGCGGCUCAAGUAGCUGAUAGCAAGCAGGUCUUAUUGCUGGAAUCUGAGGAAGAUAUUUUUAAACUCUUCUCACUUAUUUCCUUGACAGGUCCUAACAUUCAAAAAAGCAUUCUCCAAACUUUUCUUGCAGUGUGCCACUCUCCUUCAAGUGUAGAAAUAAGGGAAAAACUGAGAAAGGUAUGUGUUUGUUGAUCAACUUCUAGUAUGAGACUUGGAAAGUUUAACUGCUGUCUGCAUUUGGUGCUCUUGUAAGUUACAUGGAUAAGAUCCUUUAGCAUGUGCAAUGAUCCUUCCUCUGUGAAGCAUUUAUGGUUAAAUUGUCUCAUUUACAUUGAAAGCAUUAGAAAAUUGUCUAGCAUUAUUUUUAUGUGUUAGGCUUGGUAGAUUUUAUUUAGAUCUCCCUUCAUCAACCUGGAACCAGGAAAUGAACUGAAUAAUUUCCGAGUUGUUCAGUUUAUCUAUCCUUACCUCUUUCAUAGUGAAUCUACACAACCUUUUAUACUUGUGUGGUUCAAAUCUUUUGACCUUUUCUGUUUCAAAAUACAAUUCACAAUUACACAAUUCUAGCACUUGUGCUAUCAAUUUUAGUUACAGUUACUUUUUUGCUCUCUCUUACUUUUUUCUAUGCCCACACACAUAUAAUUUUCAGCUCUCUGCCCUCCAAGUACUGGUUCAAUUAUGUGAGCAAGAUAACGAAAUUGUACGGGGAAAUGCUGUGAAGCUGUUCUGUUGCUUGACACAAGAUGGUGAUGAAAACACCUUAUUGGAGCAUGUGGGUCAGAGAUGCAUUGAGAGAUUGCUCAGGAUCAUUACAACUUCCAACGAUCUGGAAGAGAUUGCUGCAGCCAUGGGCAUUAUCUCUAAUCUCCCUAAGGACCCAGAGAUAACUCUCUGGCUUCUAGAUGCUGGAGCACUUGAGAUCAUUUCUACUUGCCUCACUCAUGAAGGCAGAAAUGCCUCGUACAGAAUGCAAAUAACAGAAAAUGCUGCUGCAGCUCUCUGUCGUUUCAUUGCUCCAUCAAAUUUAGAAUGGCAGAAGAGAGUAGCAGAAAUUGGCAUUAUUCCAGUACUAGUAGAGUUGCUAGUUUCUGGAACCACUUUGACCAAACAAAAUGCAGCCAUUUCACUUAAACAAUUUUCUGAAAGUUCCACUGCCUUGACCAAUCGAGUGAAAAAGCGAUGGCUUUCCUGGUUCUGCUUGGAAGCACCUGUAAAAUGCUGCCCUGUACACUUGGGCAUUUGCACAGUGGAAUCUUCCUUCUGCAUUUUAGAGGCCAAUGCUCUGGAACCUCUAGUAAGGAUGCUUGGAGAGGCAGAUCCUGGAGCCUGUGAAGCUUCUUUAGAUGCACUAUUAACAUUGAUGGAUGCUGAAAGACUGCAAUGUGGUAGCAAGGUGCUUGCUGAAGCAAAUGCCAUUGCUCCAAUUAUAAAAUUGUUGAGCUCGCCUUCUGCCAGCUUGCAGGAGAAGACGCUGAAGGCUUUAGAAAGGAUCUUUCAACUUGUAGAAUUCAAGCAAAAGUAUGGAACUUCUGCCCAGAUGCCCUUAGUUGACAUAACACAGAGAGGAAGUGGUGGCAUGAGAUCUCUAGCUGCUAAGGUACUUGCACAAUUGAAUUUGCUGACUGACCAAUCCUCAUACUUCUGAUUAUUAAUCAUCAUGAUUAAAUUUUAUGUACAAAUGAUUGAAGCUGUAAUGAUUAGUUAAUUUGCAACAAAUUUAUUUAUUACAACCAUUUUUUUUUCUCUAUUGCAUAUUAAGGAUUUUUUUUCCCCUUCUAGCUGACCCUAUUCAAAAUAGUUGAAAGUGCUCACCAUUCUCAAUUCAGAU
This 4936-nucleotide unclassified non-coding RNA is filed under the name Hevea brasiliensis (rubber tree). The record is from RNAcentral. Lineage: Eukaryota; Viridiplantae; Streptophyta; Magnoliopsida; Malpighiales; Euphorbiaceae.